GGAUGUGAUAAUACCAGCACUAACAUAGCAGAUCCCAUUAGAACUCUAAAGUUAAACGUGCUUGGGCGAGAUAAGUACUAGGAUGGCUGAUCACCUGGGAAGUCCUCGUGUUGCAUCCC
Lycium ferocissimum is the source of this 119-nucleotide ribosomal RNA. Lineage: Eukaryota; Viridiplantae; Streptophyta; Magnoliopsida; Solanales; Solanaceae. The record is from RefSeq and is a predicted model, not a curated record.